RNAcentral lists this ribosomal RNA (300 nucleotides) under uncultured bacterium. RNAcentral's name for it is "bacterial SSU rRNA". It matches the Rfam family "Bacterial small subunit ribosomal RNA", at positions 114 to 430 of the family's 1533-position model. The record is from RNAcentral.
CACGUGAGAAUUUACCUUUAGGAGGGAGUAACAGUUGGAACGAUUGCUAAUGCCGCAUAUCAUUUAUAUGAAGAAGAAAUUACGCCUAAAGAAAGACUUGCGUCUGAUUAGCUAGUUGGUAAGGGUAAAGGCCUACCAAGGCGACGAUCAGUAGCUGGUUUGAGAGGACGACCAGUCACACUGGAACUGAGACACGGUCCAGACUCCUACGGGAGGCAGCAGUGGGGAAUUUUCUGCAAUGGGCGAAAGCCUGACAGAGCAAUACCGCGUGAGGGAAGAAAGCCCACAGGGUUUGUAAAC